Molecule: ribosomal RNA, 457 nt
Filed under: uncultured bacterium
Lineage: Bacteria
Description: bacterial SSU rRNA
Rfam family: Bacterial small subunit ribosomal RNA
Source: RNAcentral
UGGAGGCAGCAGUGGGGAAUAUUGGUCAAUGGGCGGAAGCCUGAACCAGCCAUCCCGCGUGCAGGAAGAAGGCGCUAUGCGUUGUAAACUGCUUUUGCAGGGGAAGAAUGUUGGCUACGUGUAGUCAAUUGACGGUACCUUGUGAAUAAGCAUCGGCUAACUCCGUGCCAGCAGCCGCGGUAAUACGGAGGAUGCGAGCGUUAUCCGGAUUUAUUGGGUUUAAAGGGUGCGUAGGCGGAUUGAUAAGUCAGUGGUGAAAUACUGCAGCUUAACUGUAGAAUUGCCGUUGAUACUGUCAGUCUUGAGUAUGGUUAAGGUAGGCGGAAUGUGUAAUGUAGCGGUGAAAUGCUUAGAUAUUACACAGAACACCGAUUGCGAAGGCAGCUUACUGAGCCAAGACUGACGCUGAGGCACGAAAGCGUGGGGAGCGAACAGGAUUAGAUACCCGUGUAGUCCC